Molecule: transfer RNA, 75 nt
Filed under: Desmaulus extinctorium
Lineage: Eukaryota; Metazoa; Mollusca; Gastropoda; Littorinimorpha; Calyptraeidae
Description: tRNA-Lys
Source: RNAcentral
UUCUAGAUGACUGAGUAUUAAGUGCAUGACUUUUAAUCUUGUUACGGCAUAUAAAAAAUUAAUUGCCUCUAGGAG